This 435-nucleotide ribosomal RNA is filed under the name uncultured bacterium. RNAcentral's name for it is "partial 16S ribosomal RNA". It matches the Rfam family "Bacterial small subunit ribosomal RNA", at positions 29 to 507 of the family's 1533-position model. The record is from RNAcentral.
AGCGAACGCUGGCGGCAGGCCUAACACAUGCAAGUCGAGCGGGCGUAGCAAGACGUCAGCGGCAGACGGGUGAGUAACGCGGGGGAACGUACCUAUGGGUUCGGAACAACACAGGGAAAGGUGUUCAAAUACGGGAUAAGCCCCUAAGGGGAAAGAUUUAUCGCCGUAAGAUGGGCCCGCGUCUGAUUAGCUAGUUGGUGGGGUAAGGGCUCACCAAGGCGACGAUCCGUAGCUGGUCUGAGAGGAUGAUCAGCCACAUUGGGACUGAGACACGGCCCAGACUCCUACGGGAGGCAGCAGUGGGGAAUAUUGGACAAUGGGGGCAACCCUGAUCCAGCCAUGCCGCGUGAGUGAUGAAGGCCCUAGGGUUGUAAAGCUCUUUUGUGCGGGAAGAUAAUGACGGUACCGCAAGAAUAAGCCCCGGCUAACUUCGUG